UCUUGAGUGCAGAAGAGGAGAGUGGAAUUCCAUGUGUAGCGGUGGAAUGCGUAGAUAUAUGGAAGAACACCAGUGGCGAAGGCGGCUCUCUGGUCUGCAACUGACGCUGAGGCUCGAAAGCAUGGGUAGCGAACAGGAUUAGAUACCCUGGUAGUCCAUGCCGUAAACGAUGAGCGCUAGGUGUUGGGGACUUUCCGGUCCUCAGUGCCGCAGCAAACGCAUUAAGCGCUCCGCCUGG
Molecule: ribosomal RNA, 238 nt
Filed under: Vibrio parahaemolyticus
Lineage: Bacteria; Pseudomonadati; Pseudomonadota; Gammaproteobacteria; Vibrionales; Vibrionaceae
Description: partial 16S ribosomal RNA
Rfam family: Bacterial small subunit ribosomal RNA
Source: RNAcentral